RNAcentral lists this unclassified non-coding RNA (215 nucleotides) under Hevea brasiliensis (rubber tree). The record is from RNAcentral. Lineage: Eukaryota; Viridiplantae; Streptophyta; Magnoliopsida; Malpighiales; Euphorbiaceae.
UGGGCUAGUUGAUUAGCAGCUUCAAUUUUUUCAGGUAAUGGGCGGACAUGAAUAGAAGCGAUAGAGGACCAAACCCAAGCGAGAAUUGGAUCGUUGCUUGCAAUUNNNNNNAUCAAUACCAACAUCCUCCCCCGCAGCGCCAUUUCCGAAGCCUAAGAUACUCUCGAGCCAUUUCACGUCACCAACAGAAGCUUCAAGGAGAUUUUGCACUUUCC